RNAcentral lists this long non-coding RNA (30921 nucleotides) under Brachypodium distachyon (stiff brome). RNAcentral describes it as "long non-coding RNA (BDIS_LNC003127)". Lineage: Eukaryota; Viridiplantae; Streptophyta; Magnoliopsida; Poales; Poaceae. The record is from RNAcentral.
CUUGACGGUGGAGAUGACGUUGUCUAGAAGAUUUAUGUGCUGGCUCCGUCCUUGUCCUGGCGUAGGCGUCGCGUCCUACUCCAUGGAGUCAGUGGUUCUCGCAACUCUUCUUUUGGUGUUUUUGGUUUUUUUCCUUGUCAAUUCAUCAACAGAGAAGCAGUUUCACAGCUUGCCUUGUAAGGGGUGUGUCCCCGGCCGUGGUGCGUUCGACGAUCUUAGGUUCCCAUUGUUUGAGGUGGGCGACUCAAGUGGCUUUUUAAAACCUAUAAGGUUAGUCCAGCUUGUGCAAGCAUGAUGUUCUGCAAUUCCGUUACCGGUUACACGGAGAAAUGUCAAGAUGCGGAAGAUAGAUCUAGAGAUGUUGAUCUCGGAAGACCAUGAUGGAGCUUUUAGUUCUAUAGUGGAUUUUUGUUCCUUAUGUUCGUUUAGCUUGUUUCGAUCUAUUGUACUUUCUUCUAUGAAUCAAUAAAGCCAGAAGGUUCUCAAAAAAAAAAAGCAGCAAUCACAGAGAAAAUCAACACUCACACAGGAAAACAACACAUGAUUAUAAACAAUUGCAGCAUUUAAUGCUUGUAAUUUCAGCACAUUACAUUUUAUUUUUACUUAAUAUAUCAGACUACAUGACAGAGAUACAACUCAAAGUAUAAGUAAACACUUGCAACGAAUAGAGGCAACAAUUGGCUCAAGAUUGGGAGUGACAACCUAAGAAAUUAAAAGACAUUACAGAGAGAAAAAACAAUAAACAUGAAACUAAGCCCCCGAGGGUCGAGUCGGCGCGAUUCGAGCAAGCUCGGGACUUCUUUUCUUGAUAAACAAAAUGAUUGUAAUCCCCGAGGGUUGAGUCGGCUUAUCUGAAAUGUCCCCAAGAAUCAAUCUGAUUUUACUCGUCUCUGUUUCUCAGAGUCAAAAUCACCUAUAUAGAUAGGGAAAAAAAAUCUAUCCGGCGCCCGCACAUCCAGCGCAUCCAGCGCCCGCGCGGCCGCACAUGAAGCUAUCCGGCGCCUUGCCCAACGGCUGCGUCUUCUUCGCCUUCGCUCACGACGCGGCUGACGGCGGCCGGUCGUCCGCGAGGAGCAACCGCGUUGUCCUCGUCCUCGUCAACCCCAUCACCGGCGCGGCCCAGAGCGUCGAGGUGUACACGCCCGAGAGCCUGUCUGGGUUGAUCCAUGCAUGGCCAAGGUGUUGUUUGUGGCCGUGAGUGUUGAUCCAUGGCCAAGGUGCACUUCGUCAGUAUGAACCGGCUUGCUGCAGAAUGUCAGAACUUGUCAUAUGUUGGUAAUUAAAUGGAGGUUACUUCAAUUACUCGAAGCUAUUGAUAUCUUCCAAAAGUAUGUAAACCCCAUUUUUAUCUAUGACAAGCAGGGGAAAAAAAUGUUAAACACACAAUUAAAAGAACUAACUUCCCUAAUAAUUUUUUUAAUUGUGGUUUUAACAUUUCUUUUUAUAUACCAGCUUCUCAUAAUAUCUUCCAAAGGGAAUUCCCAUUCCUAACCAUGGUCUGCAUGGUGGCAGGCGGAAACCUAGGGUCAUUCUCCUGCAUGAUGUCCACCAGGAAAUCAAACGUAUCAUUCCUGGAGACCAUAGCGGCGAUGUCAUUCUUCUGCAGCGUCCUCCUAUUGUCACUCCACGAUGGUAACUAGGUACGGUACAACAUACAAAUAAGCACAGUCAACCACAAUAAGACAUUAAUCGCCCGGCUUGAUGAUUAUUCCGCCUCAGCUACGCUCAUUCAUCUUGUCCACCACUGGAAGGCGGCUGUUGCUGCUCACCAUUGUAAGGCGGCUGAUGCUGCUGCUCACCGUUGUGAGGCGACUGCUGCUGCUGCGGCUGCGGCCACGCGAAAGGAACUGGUUGCUGGUUUCCACAGUACAUUUCAAAGGUGCCCAUUCCUGGGACCAUGGUCUGCAUGGUCCCAGUCGGCAACCCCGCACCAUUGUCCUGCAUGAUGUCCACAAGGAAAUCAAAGGCCUCGUUCCUGGAGACCGCAGCGGCGAUGUCAUUCUUCUGCAGCGUCCUCCUAUUAUUUUCUCUGGUUUGGAGCCACGAUCUCAGCGUCAGCUCCUGGAUGAAGAUCUCACACGCCUUAGCUAGGAGCCCAUGCGCCUCCCCCGCGAUCAUCUGGACAUUCUCCCCGCUAGCCUUCAUGAUCUUCUUGAUCCUCGCAAGGGGAAGGCUGUGGGUCUUGAAGUCGCUCAUGUGCUCGAUCUCAUCCAGCCGGUCGCUCCAGAAGGCCUGAAGCUGUUGCUGGUGCUGGUCCUCCUGCUGCAUUGGGAGGGCUGCAUAGACUGGACCACCAUAGGGUCCUACAUGAAAGACGGUACCUGCGGGAAAGACGACGCCUGCUGGCGCAGGUCCAGAUUCCGUCCCUGCCAAAUAUGCUACAGAUGUGUCGUUUGUGGCAUCCGCCUCUGUCCUUGGCUGCGAGUGUUGAUCCAUGGCCAAAAGAUACAUGCACUUAUGUCUUAACCUGGAACAUAACGGGAGAACUUGUCAUAUGUUGGUAAUUUAAACAGGGUUCCGUAAAACAUGAUGCUAAGUAUAUCUUUCAACGAGUAGAUAAACUCCUUAAUUUUUUUCUAUGAGAAGCACGAAGAAAAUAUUAAAACCACAAUUAAAAGAACUAACUUUCCUAAAAAACAGACACAAUUAACUUCCCUGAAAAUUCAAAUAACUAGACACAAUUACACAACUAAUGUAUUAUCAUAUCCAUUUGCACCUGGAGUAGUUAUAUGUAAAUACAUAUCAAUUUUUUUUUGCUUUUGCUUACACAUAAUUACAGCGUCCUCCUAUUUUUUUCUCUGGUUUGGAGCCAUGAUCUCAGCGUCAGCUCCUGGAUGAAGAUCUCACACGCCUUAGGUAGGACCCCAGGCGCCUCCCCCGCGAUCAUGUGGACAUUCUCCCCGCUAGCCUUCAUGAUCUUCUUGAUCCUCGCAAGGGGAAGGCUGUGGAUCUUAAAGUCGCUCAUGUGCUCGAUCUCAUCCAGCCGGUCGGUCCAGAAGGCCUGAAGCUGCUGCUGGUGCUGGUCCUCCUGUUUCACUGGGGUGGCCGCAUAGAUUGGACCACCACGGGGUCCUACAUGAAAGACGGUACCUGCAGGAAAGAUGACUCCUACUGGCGCAACUCCAUAUACUGUCCCUGCCACAUAUGCUACAGGUGUGUCGUUUGUGGCAUCCGCCUCUGUCCUUGGCUGCGAGUGUUGAUUCAUGGCCAAAAGAUGCACUUAUGUCCUUCGGGGUUGGCUCCUAUUUUUCUCUCUGGGUUGGAGCUACGAUCUCAGCGUCUCUAGGAUGAAGAUCUCACACCCCUUAAUUAGCCAAGACCCCAGGCACCUCCCUUGCGACCAUCAGGACUUCUCUGGGGCAGCCUUCAUGAUCUUCUUGAUCCGCGGCCUCGCGAGAGGAACGUUGUGGGUCUUGAACUCCGAUAUCUGCUCGAUCUCAGCCAUCCGGUCGGUCCAGAAGUCCUGAAGCUGUUGCCGGGGGGUUGGUCCUCCUGCUGGAGUGGGGUGGUCGCGAUUGGGACACCCUCGGAGCCUAUAGGGUGAGUAAAUUAUGGAUUAGCCAUACUACGUUGAGUAAAGAAAUUGUAUAUGUAUAUUUAUUUAGUUCGUUUUUGCUUAGAUUAAGGUUUACCCUUUCAAAGAAAAAUGUCCUCUUUCUGGAUUAUGCAAGACAUGGCUUGUGUCAUAUGCACAUUGGGUUAGCCAGGAUGUGUCAUUCCCACAUUGGAUUAGCCAGGAUGUGUUAUACACACAUUGGGCUAGCCAUUGUGUCCUACACACAUUGGGUUAGCCAUUGUGUCCUACACACAUUGGGUUAGCCAUGAUGUGUCAUACACACAUUGGGUUAGCCACACUGUGUCAUACAUAAAUUUCCUUUCCCACGCAGCCAUUUCAAGGUGAUGUAAAAGGGUCUAGGUAUUUGAAAAAGAUGUCGAUGUUGGUUCCUGGAGUCCAAAGAUCUAUCGUUCGUUUGAAGAAGAGAAAUGAGUUGAGAGAUCAAUUCUUCAUGCUUUAGGAAUUAGGAUGUAGCAUGCAGGUUCGAAUCAUAGUGUUGUAGCACACUAAAUAUAAAACUUCUGUUUGUCGAUCCGUGGCAAUGCAUGUGCAUUUUACUAGUAGAUACUAGUAAUUAAUAGAUAAUGGGAGAGACUAAUUGGCGGUCGACCGCCAAAACCUACCUCGGCAGCCUAAUCCCAAUGGUUUUUCUUUUGCUAUUUUUGGCAACUUCAUAUUUUUUUUGACUUUUUAUUUUAAAAUAGCUUUAAUUUUAUUUUAUUUUACUUUUCAUUUUUUGAUUUCGAGCUUUUAAUCUUUCAACCUUUUAUUUUAAAAAUUAAAUUUUACAUGAUUUUGACUUUUUAUUUUUUGUUGUCGGGCUUUUAAUCUUUGUGGUUUUUAUUUUUUGAGCUUUCUACUUUUUUCCUUUUCAUGAUAAAUUUGCAAAAAAAAAACUCACCUGGGUCUACCUCCCGGGCGGUGGCGGCCUUCGGGCGGCACAACAUCGUGCGCAGCCAGAUCUGGCACGGUGGAAGGGUCGGCGGGGGGAGGGGGCAGGUGCACCAUGGCCGUCGCGGCCGAGCGCGAGGGGGGGGGGGGGGGGGCGGCGCCGACGGCCCAGCGCGAGGGGCAGGAGGGGGCCGGCGCGUGUGAGACUAAGGAGCCGGGCGUGGGAACUGGGAGCGCGUCAGGAGUCUCUUAGACUCACUACUGCAAAACAGUGUAUAUGUGACGAGUCAUCAGUGACGGGCCUCUCGCACCAGUCACUGAUGACCCCGUAUCAGUGACGGGCGCAUAAAACCCGCCACUAAUGACCCCUCAUCAGUGGCGGGCGUACCACGCCCGUCACUGAUGAACCCUCACCAGUAACGGGCGGGAAAGCCCGUCACCAAUAUCCACGUCUGAAAAAUUGCAAAAUUCACCAAAACACACAUCAGUAGCGAGCUUUUCAUCUAGGCACGCCACUGAUGACUGUUCGAGGCCAGCUUUUUUAAUGGGCCGGCCCAGCAUUUUAGGGUUUGAGGGGGAGGUAUAAAAUACCCCCUCCCCCAGCUCUUCUCUCUCCCUCUAUUUCCUCCCUCAGCCCCGCCGUCACCCAACUCCCUCUGCUCUCCUCUAGAUCUCCCUCACUUCUCUCUCUUUUCUCCACUGCCAAGCAACCCUCUCCUCUCCCCCUUCUUCUCCACUCCCGAGCAACCCCCUCCUCUCCCCCUUAUCUUCUACACGAGCCGCUUCCUCUACUCCCCUAGGUCAGGCCGCGGGCAUCGAGGGCCACUCCGGCACCGCAGGUUUUCUCUCUCUCCCUUUGUUCUCUCGUUCCCUCUUGAUUUCUUCUCUCCCUCGAUCUCUUUAACUUGCAGAUCCCCGUCGGCGGCCCAUGGGGAUGAGAUGGCAGGGUGGCACCUCCUCCACCGCAGGAAUCGUCGUCACUACCCCGGCCACCGCCAGAUCCGGUGUCCCCGACCUCGUCUCCGCCACCGCCUCUGUGCAGGUACCCUCCCUCACUCUCUUUCUCUCACGCACUUUCUCCAUCUCUCGGUUGCUUUCUCUUUCUCUCCAUUGCAGAUCGAGCCCGUCGCCGGAGUUUGAGCUUCACUGCGGAGGAGGCCGUUUGUCACUAGAUCCGGCAUUUGCGCUGCCCUCUCCACGUCUGGUGUCUGCCGCCGCCAUGGAGACGGCAAGACGAUAGGAUUUGGGCUGCAAUGGGCUGCGAUGGGUUUGGUAGGUUUUUUUUUUUGUUUUUGCGAAAAGACAUCGGUGUCGGGUGGGUAUUUGUGACCGCCACUAAUGAUGGUAUCAUCACUAACGGUCGCUCACUGGCAGGAAGUUAGUGAUGGGCGGGGAUGCGAUUUCUUGACCGUUACUAAAGACCUUUUCUGUAGUAGUGACUCUCUUUUCAUCCGCCAGGAGUGGGAUGGGCGAUCGUUUGCCAAAGAGGAAUCUCCAAUAAGAAGUGGAAAUAAUUCUUUGGUCAUGCUUUCUUGGUUAAAGUUGAUAUCGCCAAAGAUUUUGGGAGGCUAGAAAUGGCACUUCCUCUAGCAAGGACUUCUACGUAAUUGGUUGCAUGCAUGGUCAUUUUAUUAAUUCAGGUCUGGAUCUGACUCGUUAAGGCAACCAUCCACUCAUGACGUGUCAAAGAAAACGGGUCCACUACAAAAAUUAUGUUGAUCCAUAUGACGUUCACAUAUCAUCACGGGCACACUCAGGAACGUCAUCGUGGUGUAUCUGUGACGUUUCCUAGGACAAACAAGAACGUCAUGAACCUCACGUCAUAUAUUGAGUCCAAAACUUUUCUCAUAUAAUUUAUGAGGAAAUUCCCUAAUUUGCCACGAGCCAUAGGUCCAAAGUCAUUGACAAAACGCCCCAUUUCGUCAUAGGCCAUGAGCUCAAAUGCAUCGGCCCAACCCAUGCCCAAAUGUUAGUGACAACUUUUUUGAUCCCUAGCUAUCUCAAGUCUCUCCACCCUCUCCCCCCGAUUCCUCCCAUUUUUUCCAACGGCGUUGCCUCCAAGCUCCUCUGCCGAUGACGUGUGUGUCCCCCAGCUCCAUCUCUCUCGAUUAAUUACAGCUAGCAAUCAGUUCCUCGGCCCGCAGGUGGAACAAAGCUCUCCCUGUCCCACCUGCUUUGUCCUGGCUGGGGUUUUUUGGACAGACGUGCGAGGAAUGGGGAAAGGAAUUAUUUUCCGAUAAAGGGAGCUUUUAUUAAACUUAAAAUUCGCAUGAAGAAGAUACGUACAACAAACAAGUUCGCACCGGCAAUAGGGAAGGAACUAGUUAGGGUGAUUCCACUGCGCCGGCCACCGGUUCUUAGGCGUCCGCGUAGGCAUCGGAAACGGACAGCUUUGGUGCGCUGCAGAUGAGAGGGAUGGGUGGCGCGCGGGCCCAGGGCGUUCGACGAUGGAGCCCUGCUGGGCCCGGUGCCGAGUCUGGGCCCGGUGGGCUGUCAGCCUGGCACUACUCCAUCUGGCAGGCGUUGUUUACUUGUUUUCGUACAAUCGCUCAAAAAAAGAAGCUUGUUUUCGUACAGCACUGCUGAAGCAUCGGAAUAAGAAAGUUGGCUAGCUGAGCCAACGUUUACCAUCACAUCUAUAUGAAUACUACGGAAACAAAUUUCUUGGUUAAAAGGGGCAUUAUGAAAGAGAGGGGAUUUUCUAUAUGGUCAGCAAGAUGUAUACAAUGAGAGGAAAUAAUUCUAUGGUCUUAGUUCCUGGAAUCAGCAUGGAUGUUAAAAUCAAUCUCGCGCCUAAGCUUUUUGAAAGGCUAGAGUGACACUUGUCUAACGACAAGCGCUUCUACGUAAAGGGCUGCAUGGUCAUUUAAUUAUUUUAGUUAUUUUUUGCGUCAUGUCGCCUAUCUUCUUUAACUUGUCGCUAUCAAUGGCCGCCCAUUUAGCAAAUUCCAUAGCUGUCGAGGAAUACGACGAUGAUACCCUCUCUCCUGGUAUCUUUUUGUCCUUGCCGCUAACUCCUGGAGGCUGCCGCCAUCCGAAGCGAGGAGGGCGUCCGCGUCACCGCUGGCUGCCCACCACCACUCGAUUUUGUCUCCUUAUGCUCAAGGACCAUGGGCUGGAGUAAUUCAGACGAUUGGGCGCAGUGCGUCGGAGCAGGGGGUCGGGUGGCGAGCCGGAUUAGGAGGAUGGGGCGGCACCGGAUUAAAAGGACAGGGCGACGGUGCCGCAGCAGAAGGGGUGCGUGUGAUCCAAGGAGAAACAGUAGAGCUUUUUUUGAUAAUUAUGAGGGCCACAAUGCUACUUUACGAAUCUACGGGAAACCAUGCAUGUGCUUUUCUACCUGUGUGAGGACAAGGGCGUGAUAGUGACGUACCACGGGAUGAGACAUACAAGACGCAAACUGUAAACUAAGAAAUUGUUAAGAUAUGGUAAAAAUAAUUAGUCCCUUUGAUGAAAUGUGUCCUAUAAAAAACUAGGAUCAGGACGUGUAAAAAGCAUUCUAAUCCAAAAGAAGUACAUGCCAGUCUCUAAAAAAGACUUGAUGAAGAUAAAUGGACGUAGAUGAAAAAAAAAAUCCUGCAAAAUCCAAAUGCUCGUUUAGUUAUUACCACCCAAUCACCCAUAUACAUAAGCCCGCAAAAGAUAAAGAUAAGUCUGAAAUCAUCAGGAAAGCCAGAAAAAACAUCAUGACAGAUGUACAAGAUCAGGAAAAAAAAUCCCUUAGUCCAACAUAGAUACCCUUGCGCAUCCAAGAUCCAAGCGCGCACUACUGCGUUACAAGAUGUAUUUAUUGAUAUCAGUGUCUCUGACGAGGUUCCAUUGCGUCACCCGACAACUGCGGAUAAUAUUCAACCAAAGAUUUAAACCAAUAAGUUAAUGGCGCUACACAAAACCCUGUAGUGGCAAUUCCAAUAGCCGUAGAAAAGACGAUGCCCCCUGCAAAGACGUGAGAGUCGGGGACUACCAAAGAUUAAUGUCGAAGACAGAUGAAGUUUCACAUCAAAAGGUAGUUCAGUUUAGACUUUAGACAAACAACCACAAACAAGCACAAACAUUCACUUUCGCCAAGUUCCAGCCAAAUCACCCCAUAACGGUAACUAGGUACGGUACAAGAUACAAAUAUGAAAUAAGCACAAUGUAGUCAACCACAACAGGACAUUAAUCGUGAGGCUUGAUUAUCCCCACCUCUCAGGUACCCUCAUUCAUCUUGUCCAUCACUGGAAGGCGGCGGCGGCUGCUGCUGCUGCUCACCAUUGUAAGGUGGCGGCUGAUGCUCCGGCUGCAGCCACGCGAAAGGAACUGGCUGCUGCUGGUUUCCAUAGUACAUUCCAAAGGUGCUCAUUCCCAGGACCGCGGUCUGUACGGUCGCAGACGGAAACCCCACGCCAUUGUCCUGCAUGACAUCCACCAGGAAAUCAAAGGUCUCAUUUCUGGAGACCGCAGCGCCGAUGUCGUUCUUUUGCAGCGUCCUCCUAUUGUUAUCUCUGGUUUCGAGCCAUGACCUCAGCGUCAGCUCCUGGAUGAAGAUCUCAGAGGCCUUAGCCAAGAGCCCAGGCGCCUCGCUGGCGAUCAUCCGAAUGUCCUCCCCGCUAGCCUUCAUGAUCUUCUUUAUCCUCGCGAGGGGAAGGCUGUGAGGCUUGAUCUCGCUCAUGUGCUCUAUCUCAGCCAGCGUUUCGGUCCAGAAGUCUUGCAGCUUUUGCUGGUGCUGGUCCUCCUGCUGGAGGGGAUGACGCACCUGCUGCAGCGGGGUUGCCGCAUAGACGACUGGACCGCCACUGGAGCCUGCAGCAAAGACUGUACCUGCCGGAAAGGCGGCCGCGCCUGCUGGCGCAGCUCCAGAUACCGUCCCAGGUGCCACAUAUGCUACAGGUGUACUGUUGACGUUUGUGGCAUCCGCCUCUGCCCAUGGCUGCGAGUGUCCAUCCAUGGCUAAGUCUGACCUUCUACAUAAUGGGAGAACUUGUGUCAUAUAUAUGUUGUUAAUUUAAACAGGGGUACACAUAAAACAUGAUACUAACUGCUAACUAACAAAAGUAGGUAAACUCCUUUUUUUUUUCUAUGAGAAGCACGAAGAAAAUGUUACGAUCACCCUAAAAGAAUUAACUUUCCUAAAUAAGAACUAAUGUGCCAACGGUUCCAUGCAUCUAAACUCAAUUGCUAGUGUAUUGCCUAAUCUGUCGCGUGGUUCCGUAUGAAAACACAAAAAUAGUUACGAGGCCACCUAACGCUGGCAGAUUUCUCGGCCCCUCCUUGCGUGUCAGCAAACGCUCCUGUAUCCUCCCUUGUCUGGUGCCCUUAAAUUUCAGGCUUAAUUUCUAAAAUGCCACUGUGCUACAGUCCCCCGAAGUCCCAAUUGGCAUCCUUGCGUGCCAGCAAACCAAGACUGCUGUCAUGGCCGCCGCGCCGCCCACCGGGGAUCGAGAUAGAAAGAGACAGAGGGGGAGGAAUAACCCCGUCCGGAUCUCGAUCUCAGCAGCGAUGGCACUCUCUCCAACCUCGAUCUCCCAACGAGAAGAUCAGGAUGCUAGCUAGGGUUUGGCUGCUGCCGCCGCCCCUAGUAAGUACUCAUGUGUUAGAGUUCACAGAGCGAGACAACGCCGAUCGAUCCAUCGAUCGACAUCUGAAUGAGCACGCGCGGCGAGACUUAACAGGGAUCUCGCAAAAGAACAUGGCGCCGACAGAAUCGGAGACGAUAACACAGCAGAAUUUCAGAAUUACCGACCUAUCUAUCUACACGCCCUUUCCUAGAUCUCGCACGAACAAUUAGUACACACUCCAAUUGAAGUACAACAUGUACAGAAGCUAGCAUAACACGGAUCUCGCAAAUAGAACAUGGCCGGCGCCGACAGAAUUGGAGACACGGCAAGACAACACAGCAGAAUUUGAGAAACGGCCUAUCUAUCUAUUGUUCUACACACGCCCUUUCCUAGAUCUCGCACGAACAAUAGUACAUAUACACAACACAGCAGCUAGCAUAAAUUGGAGGAGAUGCGAGAAUAGAUGCGAUGUUGAAGCUUACCGGGGCUUGGGCAGCGGAGAGAGACGGGACUGGAGCACCGGCCUGGAGAUGGAAUCCUAGGAGGAGGAAGAUGGCGACGGCAAGGAGAGGGACUGAUGAGGGAGACCUUGGCUUGACCCUUGUACUAUAUAUCCGCCCACUGAUGGACUGCGAUCCAGUGCCUGCCUACUGGACUGGGUGUCAGGCAGAAUGUCUGAACUGGGAGACUUUUUGUCCAUGCCUUCCUUAUUUGGGAUAUACUAUGUACUUCGAGGCCCAGUGGGCGGCGGGCCGGGGCCUGUGUGAGUGUGAUUCGGUGGGCGCUUUGGGACACACGUGCGACGGAAAGGGAAGGAACUAGCUAGGGUGAUUCUGUCUGACAGAGACAUUCUCGAGAGCAAUUUUUUAUCUGAAGACUCUAUAUAAUUUUUGUCAACUGACAAAAAAAAACUGCGGGGUCAGAGAGCACCACCCUAGCUAAAGCCCCAGCACCGAUUACCGCUAUAAAUAUCCUAUUAAGAUGUUCCUCUCCAUGAUCAAACAUUACUCAUUGACAGUAUGUGUAGUUCUCUGCAACGAAAUAUAACUUCUUCCUAUGUAACACCUCCAAAUGGACCUUUUUUUUUACUGUACACAUUAAAUAAAGUCGACAAGUCACAUAUUUUAGAAAGAAACCCCAGAAGACACAUAAUCAAAUUAAAAUGUUAAGAUAUCUUGUAAGUUGUAACAUGAAUUAUAUUAUGAUCUAAGAUGUUAUGACCAGUAAAAUAAAAAACGGGCAUUAUUUCACUGACUUUGCUGAGAUUGUUAGGAUGUACUCUUUGUUGGUAGGAGUAUAGAACAAGAAGUAAUUCUUUUGGUCUUAGUGCCCCGAAUCAGCAUACUUUCAUGGUUAAAAUUGAUCUGACUAAAUCUUUUGAUAGGCACUUCAUCAGACAAGAGCUCGUACGUAAAGGGUUGCAUGGCCAUUUCAUUAAUUUAGUCACUUGCGUCACGUCUCCUAUCUUCUCUGUCAUCAUCAAUGGCCACCUUUGGCGCGGAGACUUAAGCAGGUGAUUGCUGGAGCAUACGCGGCGCGGCAUAUGGAUCGCUUCUACGUAAAGGGUUGCAUGGUCAUUUCAUUAGUUUAGUUAUUGCUAGCGUCACUUCGUCUAUCUUGUAUGUCUUCAUCAAUGGCCACCCUUUUGGCAAAUUCCAGAAAAGUAGAGGAAUACGACAAGGAUGCCCUCUCGCUUGGCAUCUUUUGUCCUUGCCGUUAACUCCUGGAGGCUGCCUUUGUUCGCGGCGAGGAGGGCGUCGAAGGUGUCACCGCCGGCUGCCCACCAUGAGUCUAUCUAAUCCCCUUAUGCAGUUAUGCUCAAGGAUCGUGAGCUGGAGUAAUUGAGGCAAUGGGGCCGUGUGUCAGAGCAGGGGGUCGGGCGGCGAGCCGGAUUAGGAGGAUGAGGCGGCAAGGAAGGAGAAACAGUGGAGUUUGUCUUAACAAUUAUGAGGGCCAAAAUAUUUUUUACAAAUCUACAUGAAACCGUAUAUGCGUUUUUCUUCAUAUGUGACAAGGGUGCGGUAGUGACGUACCACGGGAUGAGACAUAUACAAAUGCAAACUGUAAACAAAGAUGUGGUUUAGAUAUGUUUUUAGUCCAUUUGAUGAAAACGUGUCCUAUAGAAAGCUAGGAUCAGGACGUGUAAAGCAUUCAUAUCCAAAAGAAGUACAUGCCCGCGGUCUCUAAAAAAGACUUGAAGAUACGUAGAUGAAAAAAGUUGCUGCAAAAUCCAAAUGCUCAUUUAGUUACCACCAAAUCGACCCUAUGCAUAGGACCAGAAAGAUAAAUAUAAGUACCAAAAAUCAUCAGGAAAAAACCAAAAAAUCAUGAAAAAACAUCGUGAUAGAUCCACAAGAUCAGGAAAAAUUCCCGAGUCCAACAGAGAUAUGAAGAACUUUCGAGCAGCCAAGCGCACUGCGUCAACAAGGUUCCAUUGUGUCAGCCGACAAUUGCAGAUAAUAUUCAACCAAAGAUUUAAAGCAACAAGUUAAUGGCUACACAAAACCCUGUAGUGAGAAUUCAAUAAAACUGUAGAAGAAAAAUACCCCUGCAAACACGCGAGAGUCUGAGACUAACAAAGAUUCAUCUCGAAGACCGAUGAAGUUACACAUCAAAAGGUAGUUCAGUUUAGACCAUCUCUACAACAAACAAAAUACAACAAACAAGCACAACUUUCACCGAAGUUCCAGCCAAAUCACCCCAUAAUGUAACUAGGUACGGUACAACAUACGGAUAACCACAGCCAACCACAAUAUAAGACAGUAAUAACCCGGCUUGAUUAUCCGCCUCAGCUCCGCUCAUUCAUCUUGUGCACCACUGGAAGGCGGCUCCUGCUCCUCAGCGUCGUUGUAAGGUGGCUGAUACUGCUCCUCACCAUUCUAAGGCGGUUGCUGUUGCUCCGUCUGCGGCCACACGAAAUGAACUGGCUGCAGGUAUCCAUAGUACAUUCCGAAGUUGCCCAUUCCCGGUACCGUGGUCUGCAUGGUCCUAGUCGGCAACCCCACGCCAUUGUCCUGCAUGACGUCCACAAGGAAAUCAAAUGCCUCAUUCCGGGAGACCGCAGCGGCGAUGUCAUUCUUCUGCAGCGUCCUCCUAUUAUUUUCUCUGGUUUGGAGCCACGAUCUCAGCGUCAGCUCCUGGAUGAAGAUCUCACACGCCUUAGCUAGGAGCCCAUGCGCCUCCCCCGCGAUCAUCUGGACAUUCUCCCCGCUAGCCUUCAUGAUCUUCUUGAUCCUCGCAAGGGGAAGGCUGUGGGUCUUGAAGUCGCUCAUGUGCUCGAUCUCAUCCAGCCGGUCGCUCCAGAAGGCCUGAAGCUGUUGCUGGUGCUGGUCCUCCUGCUGCAUUGGGAGGGCUGCAUAGACUGGACCACCAUAGGGUCCUACAUGAAAGACGGUACUUGCGGGAAAGACGACGCCUGCUGGCGCAGGUCCAGAUUCCGUCCCUGCCACAUAUGCUACAGAUGUGUCGUUUGUGGCAUCCGCCUCUGUCCUUGGCUGCGAGUGUUGAUCCAUGGCCAAAAGAUACAUGCACUUAUGUCUUAACCUGGAACAUAACGGGAGAACUUGUCAUAUGUUGGUAAUUUAAACAGGGGUUCCGUAAAACAUGAUGCUAAGUAUAUCUUUCAACAGUAGAUAAGCUCCUUAAAAAAAUUUUAUGAGAAGCACGAAGAAAAUAUUAAAACCACAAUUAAAAGAACUAACUUUCCUAAAAAACAGACACAAUUAACUUCCCUGAAAAUUCAAAUAACUAGACACAAUUACACAACUAAUGUAUUAUCAUAUCCAUUUGCACCUGGAGUAGUUACAUGUAAAUACAUAUCAAUUUUUUUUUGCUUUUGCUUACACAUAAUUACAAUUUCAAAGAAAAAGAAAACAUGUUUGUACUUUUGUCUACAUGGAAACUGCAAUCUACUCGUGCCGAGCAAACAAUCCCCAUAAAACAAGGAAGUAAACAUAUAUACCGGAGUAUAGACUACGAAUAUGGGCUAUAGACUACGAACAUGGGCUCUCUUGUGAACCCACGCGGAAAUGGAAGAAAAAUAACCAUGGUAUACGCGGCCAGAGGAUAGCCCCUCCUAGAUUUGCAUCUAAAGAACAAAUCUUACAGCAAAUUAAAAUACCCCACGACCUUUUCAUCUAAACUCGAUUGCUAGUGUUCUCUAAUCUGUCGUGGUUUCCUAAAUAAGAACUAAUGUGCUAACGGUUCCAUGCAUCGAAACUCAAUUAUUGCUAGUGUAUGUAUUGCCUAAUCUGUCGUGUGGUUCCGUAUGAAAAAACAAAAAUAGUCACGAGACCUAACGCUGGCAGAUUUCUCGGCCCCGGCCCUCCUUUCGUGCCAGCAAACGCACCUGUAUCCUCCUUUUUGUCUGGUGCCCUUAUAUUUCUAGCUUAACAUAAUUAUUUCUAAAUGUCACUGUGCUACUAUACCGAAGUCCCAAACCAAGACUGGUGACAUGGCCGCCCCCCAGCAGCGAGAGAGAAAGAGACAGAGGGGGAGGAACAACCCCGGCCGGAUCUCGAUCUCAGCGGCGAUGGCGCCCUCUCUCCUCAACCUCUCCUGCUAGGAAGAACCUAGUAUAAACUAACGAAUCCAUUGUUAGAGUUCACACUUCACAGAUCGAUAACAUGUAAAAGGGCACGAGCAAGCGCAGCCGACGCGGCGAGACAAACGCCGAUCCAUCGAUCGACAUCUGAAACAUGGCGAGACAGCACGGAUCUAGCAAAAAAUCAUGGCACCGACAGAAUCGGAGAUGACAAAACAGCAGAAUUGGAGAACUGGCCCUAUCUAUCUACAUGCCUCUUCCUAGAUCUCGCACAAAUAAUACUACUCCGUACUACAUACAUACCAAGACAGCAGCUAGCAUAAAUUGGAGGUGAUGCGAGAUGAGGCCUGAGGGUGGAGGUUGUUGAUUCUUACCAAACCAGGGGCCGGGCGCUGGAGAUGGAACCCUAGGAGGAAGAUGGCGACGGCGAGGAGAGGGACUGAUGAGGGAGACCUCGGCUUGGCCCCUAUAUAUUUGCCUACUGCUGGACUGGGAUCCAGUGCCUACUGGACUGGGAGUCAGUGUCUGAACUGAAAGACUUUUUGUCUAUGCCUUAUUUGGGAUAUACUAUGUCGAUCGAGGCCCAGUGGGCGGCGGGGCCUGUGAGUGAUAUUCGGUGGGCGCUUUGGGACACACGUGCGACGAAAAGGGAAGGACAGGGAAGGAACCAGGGUGAUUCUGUCUGACAGACAUUCUUGAGAGCAUUUUUUUUAAUCUGAAAACGCUAUUUGGUGAACUGAAAAAAUCUACGGGAGAGAGGACCCUUAAAGCCCCAACAACGAACACUGAUAUAAAUAUCCUCCGAAGAUGUUCUUCUUGAUGGCCAAACCUUACUCGUUUCGUUGUCAUUUUGACAGUAGUUCUCUGAAAGGAAAUAUAACUUGUACACUAUAUUUAAUGUGCUCUUCUUUGCUACGUAAGACCUCCAAACGGACCAUUUUUUACUGUACAAAUUAAGAAAGUCGACAAGUCACAUUUCUUAGAAAAAAAACUCCACAAGACAUAAUCAAAAUUAAAAAUGUUAAGAUAUCUUGUAAGUUGUAAAAUGAACUGUAAUCUAAGAUGUUAUGACCAGUCAAAUACAAAACGUGCAUUAUUUGACUGGAUUUGCUAAGAUUGUUAGGAUGUACUCUUUGUCCGUAGGAGUAUAGAACAAGAAGAAAUAAUUCUGUGUGUCUUAGUUUCCCUGAAUCAGCAUGCUUUCAUGGUUAAAAUUGGUCUGGCUAAAGCUUUUGAUAGGCUAGAAUGACACUUCAUCACACGUAAAGGGUUGCAUGGCCAUUUAAUUUCAUUAAUUUAGUCGCUUGCGUCACGUCUCCUAUCUUCUAUGUCAUCGUCAAUGGCCAGCCUUUUGGCAAAUUCCACGGCAGCAACGGAGGAAUAUGACAAGAAUGUCCUCUCUCUCCGUAUAUUUUUGCCCGACAGUGGAUUUGUUACUCCCGAGAGCACAUUGCAUGCCCCUAUCAUAGCCGCACAUUUCCAUGGCAUCCUCCCACCCUUCUUCUAUCUUCUCUGUCAUCAUCAAUAGCCAGCCUUCUGGCUAAUUCCACGGCCAGCAACAGAGGAAUAUGACAUGGAUGUCCUCUCUCUCCGUAUAUUUUUGUCCUUGACAAGAACGAGCUUUCUAUCAAUCUGCAAGAGGCUAUAUCUAUGCUGAAUCACCACCUUCAAGGUAUUACUCUUCAGCCCCACUGUCUGCACAUUCACUUUCUCACGUACGCUGGCGAUCGAGCUGCUUAAUUAUCUGCAGGCAUGUUACCACCGUUGAAGCCAAUGCUAUUUUUGUUAUCAACUUAACUUUUUUUUCAAUCUGGGAAAACUCCUGCUACCUGAAUAAAUCUACCAUUCCUUUUCAGCAAGCAUGUUGACCACGACUCUACCUCUCAAAUCAAAUCCAUUUUUCCCAUCCGGCCGGCCAGCAGAACCUCAAUAACAGUACUCUAUCUCGGACAUCCCUUGAUCCUCCCUAAUAAGGAUAGAUUCUCUGCUUAAACUUCAUCAUCGAUACGAUAAAUGAUAAAAUCAGGCAUAAACUCAAUUAUAUUGCUUCAUGAUGAUGUUGGAAGACUCACGCUUAUUAACUCGGCUUUUCCUCCAUCCCUAUUGACUAUAUGCCUCGGUGUCAUCCUUGAUCGUGCAUCCGCCGAAUUUCGUAACACUUGAUGGAAAUAUGAGCAAUUUACCACAAGAUUUAAUAGAUAAAAACAGUAAAUAAAACAUGUGUAAUAUUGCAACCAUGAAUAAUUCGGCACAAGAAUUGAUCAACAUAAAUAGUGGGUAAAACAUGACUAGACCAAACACAGUAGUCAUGCAAGCAUAUGAACAAAACACAUCUAAAUCAAGAACUAAACAUACGAAUUGCAGCAUGAUAUCAAGUAUGGGAAAUAAUGACACGUGCGGUGCAGAGGCGGAACCGCUCGUGUUCCCGUUGCUAGACAUGUUGAUGUCGAGGAUGUCUUCAACCUCCGGGAAGAAGUCGUCGUCGGGGAAGGAGUCGUCGGAGUCCAGUGCGUUCGCGGCGAAGAGGAAGAAGACAGUAGUCGCGCGUAGCGCUCCCCAAAAACCUUAUUGCCCUUCUCUCGUACAGGACUCGUAGAGGCGGGGUUCCGGAGGCCUACUAUCCCGACCUGCGGUGCACGCCACGAGACGAGAUGGGGAAGAACGGAGCGGCAGUGCAAUGCUCUGGAACGAGAGGAGGCAGGAAUGCUGUUUCGGUGUGCUUUCUGGAGAGGAGCAGGCAACAGAGGGAGGCAAAACGAAGAGGACAAAUUCGUUUCAGCUUCUGUGCAACCAUUCAGAUUAUUUUCCAUUCACGCGUGUACAGGACUCGAAGAGGCGGGGUUCCGGAGGCCUACUAUCCCGACCUGCGGUGCACGCCGCCAGACGAGAUGGGGAAGAACGGAGCGGCAGUGCAAUGCUCUGGAACGAGAGGAGGUAGGAGUGUUGUUUCGGUGUGCUUUCUGGAGAGAAGCGGGCAACAGAGGGAGGCGAAACGAAGAGGACAAAUUCGUUUCAGCUUCUGUGCAACCGUUCAGAUUAUUUUCCAUUCAUGCGUGGCAAAAAGAUAGAGAAGCUCUCGGCUCGAGGCAUUCCCGCAACCCGCGGCGCGUGCGCGUCGUGACAAGACGAGGCGGGGGGCGGAGGAGCGCGUAGAAGCUCUCUUCUUCUCAUGCUCACACAACAGGUGGAAGAGCCCCCCCCUUAUAAGGUGGUGCAAACUCUCUUCAACUAGCAAUGUGGGACUAAACUUUUGUCCCACCUCUUGCCAUGCAUGAAUGGGCCGAAUGGGCCUUUGGGAUUUUCAGGAAUUUAUUGGACUAUAAAUUAAAUAGUGGGCUGGGCCACAUAAAUUCCAACAACACUUACUACUAUUAUUGUGAACUUUUGGUGGACACAAGUGUCAGGGAAGGAUAGGAAAAAAAACACUUUGUCUUAAUGAUGAUGACAUAGCAUCCGGGUAUAGUCUCAAGGAGGAAAAACUCGGCCCAAGGAGUAGAGGGUCUGCCAGGUCAUCUAUAUGGAGUCUGACUGCUACACCUGGGCGCCUCAUUGACUUGGAGUGCAAGAUAGGGAAACUCUACUACCCAAAAUACCACUUGAGAUAUGAUUCUAACCGAUUAAAUAAUCUAUUCCGUAUAAACCGACUCAGGCUCUUGUAAUCUGAUACGUCGAAAACAUACUAUUCCUUUUUAAGUUUCCAUCUUUGUGUUCUAUUGCUUUUUAUCGAUUUUCAUUAAAGCUUUGAGCUUAAAUGUAGUUAACAGCCAUUAGGAAGUUUCUUCUUUCUUUGUUUUGUUAAUUUCAGAUAUAUAACGCGAGAGGAGAGCCCCUAGAAAAUUAGGAGGAUCAUAUAUCGGAGUCCAAUGCAGUAUACAAAAGGAGGGAUCGACAAAGGCCCCCACGGAGGUCCCAGUCGGCCAAGGGUAGGCACCCUGGGCCCAGGGCUGCUUGCCUGGGGCUUGGGAGACUCUGCUCUUUUCGAUGUACUCUUUCAUACUCCCUCCGUUCCAAAACACAAAUCAUAAAGAUUUGUGCACUUGGACCAAGGCAGCUCUCAUUUCUAGUGCUUGACCACUCAUAUUGGAUUAAUAAUAAAUGGAUGUGAGUAGUUAUUUGCCGGGUGCGGGUACCAAGAGAAAAUAAGGUGUGUUUUGGAACAAAUGAGAAAAACCUAUAUGAGUUGUGUUUUGGAUAGGAGGGAGUAACACUUUGGGACCCCCUGAAAAUUCAGACACAAGAAGAUAUCGAUUACGAGGCAAAGCAGCACAGAAAGUAAAACUACCAGAAAUUAUGCUGCGAGAUCACUGCUUCGGAAAAGGUUAGCAGCAGCGGUCCGAAUUACACACCGGUGGCGGUAACCCGGACCGCCACUAAGCCUGCGCCACGGUAAUACCCGCCACCGGUGCUAGCCAGCACCGGUGGCGGUUUGCACAACCGCCGCUGGUAAUCCGUAGGGAGGUUAAGAAAGUGCACCGGUGACCGUGGGAAGAACUGCCACUGUUCUUUUCCGGUUUAAAAAAAAUAUUUUUUAUAUUAGAACAUUCCUGUAACAGCAAUAUAUCACAUCACAGCAAUAGAUAACAGCAUGAUAGAUAACAGCAAUAUAUAUGAGAAAAUCACACAUCCAUGAUAGAUAACAGCAUCCGUUCACAAAACUUAUUACAAAAACACAGAUAUUCAAUAUUUAACAUUGUCCAUCAAAGUUUCAAUACAUCGGCACAACCCCGCCUUCAUAAAAAUCACCGUUCUCCUUCAGGACCUCUUUGUUGAGAAUGGUGGCUAUCUUCCUCUGAAUAUCGAACACAAGAACAGCUGGGUUGUGUUCAUAUUCUGAUUCCGUCUUGAAGUAAUCCACCAUCUGCUGGUAGGUCGUCUUUGUCUUGGGCUUGAAAUUGGUGACCCAAUUGCGGAUGAUGUACGCGUAGUAGUAUCCACAGAAGACCGUACCUUGCGGCUGUUGUAUACAUGCGAAGUUUCUGUGAUAGGUUAUUUUCUUCCAGCCGUAACUUGGCAACUCAUAGUCAGUCACUGCCUUUUUCCACGCCUCUUCGAAGAGUGUUCCGACGGUUUAGAAGUCGCGCGGCUCAUAGCCUUACUUCCGGCGGAGUGGAUCAAGAUACGUCACCGACCCUUCUUCGAAAGAGAAGGCCACCACCACCCAAUGUUCGUUGUUUACAAAAAGAACACACAUUUAUAACCGAAAUGAGAACAACUUAGUGGAACGAGAAAGAAAGCAAUGGUCUUGAGAACAACUUACUCUAAAUGGUAGAGUGUAAGAACAUAACGGCGUUGCUUGUGCAUUGCGAAGAACUUAGCCAAGUAUGAGCCUUCUCUCUCGAACCCCGUUUCCAUUCCUCUAGACCGAUGGUUGCUUUGCUGAAUAAGAGAGGAUCGGCGAUGGCAACGUGUGGUUCUUUCAGGCGGAAGGACUCCCUAGUGAAGUAUACACACCAGAGUCUUAACAUGUUGUUGUCUAAGUACUUCUGGUUGAAGACGUGAAACAAGUCAAGGAAGUCCACGCCGAAGGUAAGUUCCUUCGUCUGCAGGUCCCCCGUUUCGGCAUUGUAGAAGCCAUAAUACUCUGGCACCUUCACAUUCAUCUGUUGGCCAUGUUGUGUAGAAUUAGCUGAUGCUGCCAUGUAGUAGCCAUGUAGCUCUUGCAUCUCUUGCGGCAGGCUCCUUAGGUCCUUAAGGCUGACCAUCGGUUGUCCAGGGUAGAACAUCAGCACUUUAUCGAAUUUCCUGGCCACGAAGUAGGCUCCGCCGACUAAAUCACAAGCUAUAGGGGGGCUUCAUAUUCAAAAUAUCUAGCCGGUUUUCCCAAUUCCCUUCGAUUAUUGGCGGAUUGCUGGGUUGCUCGCCCGUUGAGUCCAACUCUUUACUCUUCGAGUCACUGGAUCUCUUGCUGAUUUUGGACCCCUGUUAUUGGUGCGCCGGCGUUUCAAAACCUCGGCCUCCUCUUGAUCCUUGAAGGUCUGGGAGACCUGCUUGCCAGACGUGUACUCCAGCGCGCCCGCCACAGAUUUCCGUGGCACGGGUGCAGGUCGUGGUGGUUGUGAGGGUUGGCUGUCUUUACGGUGGGGCGGCGAUGGAUUAGGCAGCAGCACAUGAGCCGGUGCAGCGUCAUCAUCGCUGCAGUCUUGCGUUGGUCCGAAAUCGAAGCCUCCUUGCCCCGACGUUGGUGAAUCCGGACGUGCUGGCUUAUUGGGGGAUGGGCCAAGGGGCGAUGGAGAGGGAAGUCAUCGAGCGGAAGCCGGUGGAGACGCUCCGGGACACGACAAAGAGGGAGAAGGUUGGGUAGCGAGGGCAACCAACCUCCUGGGCCACUGGAUGUACGUGCCCCGGCAUUGCCCUAGAGUCACUGAUUCCUCCUCUAGAGGAUAAGGGACCGGCGUCUUGUCAAAUUCCGGGAGCACGGAGUCCACCUGCACCCUGACAUGAUCCGGGGCCAUGGGCGUGUUGUGCACGACCGGCAUUCUUCGCAUCAGCAGACCACGUGCGCCUAAGGGAUUCCCGGUGGAUGGCAUCAAUAUCCGGCACUUAAUACUCUUCUGUGCGUGACAAACAAAUUAACAUACGUACGUUAGUGUUAUGGUGUGAAGAAUGACGUAAUUGAGUGUAUAUAUACUAUGGUACCAGUAAGGAGCUUACCAGGAUGUUAUCAGAUGGGCCAUCAGGGUCAUCCGAAGUUCGGUGCCGGAGCCAGCACUGCUCUUAUAAGGUGGCGGCGAAGGAUUCGGAGUCGACUGAUGAACAUGCGGAGUCAUAGGCCUCGGUGUCACGCCCCGGUUGCCCUAAUAUGUAGCAACGAACUCCUCCAUAGUCUGGCCAGAGUCCCUUGCUUUUUUCAAGCAAGCGAAAAACUCCUCCCUCGCCGCCCUUUUCGCCACCUCUACAAUUUCUUCGUGCUUCUCAGCCUUUCUUUUACGGCUCCGGGCUUCUUUCUCUUGAGGAAAGACUUUGCGGCAAAGGGCCCCGGUUCCUAAGGCUCGAAUAUGGGCCCCGUGCUUAUUUCUUCCUAGAGCAUAGCUUAGUGGUGAAUCCCACUGUGCACGGAGCUCGUCGUGGGAGCCUUCCGACUCGAACUCGGCGACCUUGUCCUGAAAUAAGACAAAGUCGGUGUCAAUUUAUAAGUGAGUGUGUUAGAAGCUAAACUGAAAAGGAAGUGGCGGUUGAGGCCUUACGAUUAAAACUUUCUGGUCAUCGCGGAUAGGCUUCAGGCCUGCCCACUGUUCUUUUGUCAUGGUACUCCGCACAAAGGUUGUGAACCGGUCAUGACGGAGCAUUGUUGGGACAGGAGGGACUAUCCCUCUUGCCGCAAGCUUGGCGUCCUCCUUCUCCCACACCGGCUUCUUUCCCUCGAUACCACGACUACCAAGGCGGUGGUUAAAUUUCCUCUUGGCACGUAGCGCCGCGUACCACUCUUGGGUUGCUUUGAAAUUUUGAUCCUUUUCCUUCUCCUUGAACUCCUCCCAUUCCUCCUCUGUGAUCCUCGGCCAUUUCUUAUGAAUCACCAUCUUCCAAUCUUCGUUCAAAAAAGCACUGGCCAUGGUACCCCAAUUGCUGUGACCCCUACGCAUUGUGGUCUUCAUCGCUCCGAAUACUUCUUCACGGAGCACGGGAUCAGGCACCUCGAACCUCUCCCAUCCCUUGGCGUAACAAUCUUGCUUUACGCUCUCCGGCACCUCGGUCCAUCUUUGAUUGAUGUUCGUGAACUCGCGAACGAUUGCAUUGCAAGUGUUGGCGAAACACGACGCGGCCCUCUUUGGUGAUUUGGGUUCCCCCACGUCGUCAGUCCUGGUGACGAUGAAUUUCUCCUUCGUCGGCUUGUUAGACCCACGCGGCGCCUUCUUCUUCUUCUUCUUAGAAGUAGCCUGCGACGUGGUAGCCUCAGAGCCUGCAUUGAAGCCUGAAGGAUCACCGCCGCCGUGUUCAGGCUCGUCGUCUUGGCUAUGUGCUAUUGGUGUGCCCGACGAUGAAGAACCCUGAGGGGAGUCCUCAGGGUGUUCUCCAUCGCGACCCUGAGCUUCCUAUACAAUGCCCUUACAUGGAUUACUUUAAAAAUUUGAAAAAUUCGACAUGACCCGUAAUGUAAAUCUAGAAAAAUUCGGCAUGACCCGUGCUAUAAAGCUAGCGAAUUGGUCUACCCGACAAUGAUACCUGCAUAAAAAUUACCCACCCACAUAUACCCCCUCGGCGCGAUGGCCACCCCCCUAAAUUUCAACGGCCUCGGCACGAUGGCCGGGCCCACAUCAUGCAUAUGCCACAAAAUGCAUAUUUAAGACAUUUGAUAUUUGCUACUCAAGGAUAUUUGCUCAAGGAUAUUUAAGACAAAAUGCAUACCUAAGACGAAAUGCAUAGUCUAUUAAUAUAUAAUUAUAUGACAUAGAUUCAUAUUCAUUAUAUUCCUAGUCAAGGAUAUUUGCUCAUGGAUAUGAUUUUGAUCACAUUAGUCACAUAUUUGCUACUCAAGGAUAUUUGCUUGACACUUUACCCAUCGCCAAAGCAAGGAAAAAAAAUCCUAACCCUAGAACAUGGAUCACUAAACCCUAGAACAGUAAACUUAAAAAAACAAUCCUAACCCUAGCACUGACCUUGUCGCCGGCAGGCUCUCCCUCGACGCCGGCGGCCGGGGACCCCGGCGGUUUGUCGUCGCGGGGGAGCUUGGUCUCCAGAUUUUGGACCUCGUCCACAAAAUCCGGCGGGCCCGAAUCAGCCGUGCGGCGGGGCGGCAGGUUUGCCGUGGCUGACGCCGUGGAGAAGCCACGGCAGCGGCCCGUGCCGCGUGUGCGCACCAUGGCGGCAGCGGCGGUGGCGGCGGCUCGGGGACAGCGGGUCGGGGAGGAGAAGGCCGGGGAAAAGGAACGGGGUCGGGGAGGAGAAGGAACGGCUUCGGGUCGGGGUCGGCGACGCGGGUGGGGGAGGGGAACGGCGGCGGCGGCGAGUCGGCGGCGGGGCAGGGCUUCGCCCGCGUUAGUGUUCGAUGUGCCGCUGCUGGUCUGUGAGACGCGCGGGCGAAUGGUUCGAAAUUUCGCUAAGUCCAGUCGCUAUCUAUUGGCCAAGGGGAUUUUUGCACCAGCACUCGUGGCGGUUCACCAAGUAAAAUAGCCACCGGUGCUAAGCACCCGUGGCCGGUUGGUGCUUUGGACCGCCACCCGUGCUUCUCAGUGGCUAUAGCACUGGAGCGAGCACUGGUGACGGUCUAUUUGCAAAACCGGCCACUUGUGCUGCAGUGGCCGGUUUUGCAAAUAGACUGUCACCAGUGCUCGCCACCAGUGCUCCUCAGUGCCUAUAGCAAUGGAGCGAGCACUGGUGACGGUCUAUUUGCAAAACCGGCCACUGGUGCUCCACCUGUGCUCCUGCAUCUAGCACUAGUGGCGGUUUGACCGCAAAACCGCCACUGAUACUAAUUUCUGAAUCAAGUUUUAAAUUCAUAUUAAAUUAUGUGUACAUCCAAAAAUUAAAGAACCUGUCCUUUUGAGUGUAAACUACUAAUAUCAUGUCCCAUGCAAAGUUUCAAACCUAAAUACAGAAAUAUCAUCAACCAUUUAUAUGAUUAUGUUGUUCAUAUUAAAGUUAUUAAUUGCUAUAAAAUUGAAUUUUGCUCAAAAUGACCUGAAAUUUUGCAUGGAACAUUUCUAUCAAUAAACAAUCUUACAUAUAAAUUGUGGUCCAAAAAUUUAAAAGGAUGCACUUUGGUUCUUCAUUUUUUUCACAUUGCUUCUUCAUUUUGGAACCAUCUAGGUAAAUCUCUCAGAAACCAUCCAACCCCAUGAACAAAAUGUGACAUGUUUUUUUUGAUUGAACUUGAAUUUUUUUUAUGGGUGUUCUAUAGCAAUAGGGAAGUGUCCACACCAAAUUUGACAAUGUUUUGAGAAAAAUUGAAUUUUAUAGAAUUUUUAUAGCACAAAAGCCACACAUAAUGACACUUAACCAUAGAAAUUAGGGUAUAUAACAUUUGAAUUUAUGCUUCAAAACUUUAUUGAGAAUAAACACUCUUAUUAUACACAUAAAAGAACAGGUGGUGUAUUUAUUUAAAACCCAGAGAAUAUAUUAUGAAUUUAAUAGCUUAUUGGAAAUUCGUCACCAAUGGCGGUUUUUGUCGUGAGAACCGCCACUGAUAUGCGGUACACAAACUUAGGUUCUCCAAUGCUCCUGCGUAUCAUACUAGUGGCCGGUUUCUUUGCGAGCACCGCCACUAGUGCUCCAUGCUAGUGGCGGUUCCCAGCGUAGUCACCGUCACUUGUGCUCCUGCGCGUGAGGCGAAGUUUUGCGCCAACACUAGUGGCGGUUUGCUGCGUUUUAACGGCCACUAGUGCUUCAUGCUAGUGGCGGUUCGUGCGUUUUCACCGCCACUAGUGCUCCUCAGAGCGAGCUUUCGCGCAGUGGGUUGGGAGUUUUAGUCCCACCUCGCUAGUUUACAGAGAAUCUGACCAGCAUAAAUAGCCUUCUCCACCUGCACUCUCACUUCCGAAUCACAUCUCUUCCUGGCCGGUGGGCCCGGUUGUCCUCUCUUCCUGGCCUGUGGGCCCGGUUGUCGUUCCGAAACUUGGUGGGCUCGAUAAAAGCCCUGUGGGCCCGGUCAAACCUGCCCUAGUAGGUAGUAGGCAAUUCCCUGGUUCGCCGGGCUCGGCCCGAACCCGAAAAGCUGUGUUGACUGGGUGGGCUAAUUUUUUUCCAUGAAAUUUGAUAAAGUUAUUUUGAAAUUCAGAACAUAUCUAAGACAUUUGAUUUGAAAUUUGAACAAGUUAUUUAAUACAACUGAUUUCAAAUUUGAUCAAGUUUCUUCAAAUUCAGAACAUAUUUAAGACAUUUUAUUUGAAAUUUGAACAAGUUAUUUAAAACAUUAUGAUUUCAAAUUUGAACAAGUUAUUUCAAAUUCAGAACAUAUUUUUUAUUUCAAAUUUGAACAAGUAAUUAUUUAAUACAGUUGAUUUGAAAUUUGAACAAGUUGUUUAAUACAAUUGAUUUCAAAAAUCGAUCAAGUUACUUCAAAAUCAGAACAUAUUUAAAACAUUUUAUUUGAAAUUUGAACAAGUUAUUUCAAAUUCAGAACAUAUUUAAGACUUUUGGUUUCAAAUUUGACAUGAUACAAGUUACAAUUUUCAUUCAAAAGCAUCGUGAAACAUCAACUACGAAAAGAUACACAAAUAUUUAACUAUUCCACAAUCUUGUCCUUCAUCUUCUUUCUAGUCUUCUCCUUCCUCUUAUAUGUUAGGGUCUCUCUAUGGCCGCUUCUAGCGUAUGCCUCCUCUCUUGCCUCAGGUCUUGACUUCUUCCUUGUCUGAAUUGUCCGUUAUGCUUCUUCUUCUUCUUGGUUUGACGUUGGAUCAGGAAAACCUUCAUAGUCUUGUUGUGAAGUAACUCCGUCGACGCCAACUAUGCUUCUUUUCCCUCUCCUUACGACAACACGGUUCUUGCUUGUCGGGUCGUCGAUGAACAAAACUUGUUUGCAUUUUGAAACAAACUGCCAUGGUUCCCAUCUUGCCGGGAUUUUCUUCACGUCCACUUUAUGACGAGGAACCUCACGAGGCAGGGUCAUUGUUGUGAAUCUAUGAUCUUCUUUUCUGACAUCACGUGCCCAUCUAACACGGAACAUGGGGAUGGUGGUGAAGGUGUAGUCAAGCUCCCAGAUCUCUUUAAUCACGCCAUAGUACGCUUCUGUAGUGCCUUAGUUUUCAGAACUAGUCUCAGCAACCAGUACUAUACCGCUAUUUUGGUAACUGCUCUUACGAUCUUGAUCCUUGGUGUAGUACGUAUACCUGUUCAUUACGUACGACUGGUAAGUCACUAUGCAGCCGUCGGGUAGGCGCGAGAACUUUUGAGCGGUCCUUUCUUCUUCAUUUGCCGCCACCCUGGCAUAGCAAAAACUCUUGAGCCACAUGGCGAAUGUUGCAUUGUGGGUCUUGUGUAUCCAAUCAGCACUCCUGUUAGGGUACCGGUUUUCAAGUUCUUCCAUAUGCAUGUCGAUGAAAGGCUGGACCUCGUACAUAUGUUGCAGCACCAUUGUAUGUGUUCUCAUAUAGUCGUCCUCUCUCCCCAAUGAAUACACAUCUAGAACCUUCCGGCCAAGCCCACCUUCACCUUCUAGUUUGACCUUAUGUCGUGAUUCGGGUACUCCUAUGGGUUUGUGAUCCGCCAACCAAUCAGUGGCGUACUCCACACACUCUUCUACAUGGUAGCCUUGCAUGAUGCUACCUUCCGGAUGCCCUCUGAUACGAACAUACCGCUUCAGCACCGCGUUGUAUCGUUCGGGCCCAUACAUGUUGUGCAGAAAGGAGGGCCCUAGUAGGAUUAUCUCGUCGGUGAUAUGGACCAUCAGAUGUACCAUGAUAUCAAAGAAUGUUGGAGGGAAGAACAUCUCACAUUCACACAAAAUUUAUAUCAUUGAAUCCUUCAGCUGGAGGCAGCGUUCCACCGUGAUGGACUUUUGCCCGAUUGUGUCAAAGAAGUCACAAAGCUUCAUGACCGUCUCUCUGAUCCAUGGCUCCAUGGCACCUCUUAUUGCAACUGGAAGUAACUGCGUGAUAAUCACGUGGCAGUCAUGAGACUUCAUGCCAACAAGCUUGUGACUCUUCAUGUCAACGAGUCUCUUGAUGAUGGACGAGUAGUUGGAUGGAACUUUUAUGCUGUGGAGACACUGGCACAUUCUGUGUAACUCGGCUUUGCUCAAGGUGUAACACACAGGUUUACAUCGUGUCGUUAUCGUGACUUCACCAUUGUGGUCUUCCGGUGACUCUUCCUCUACCGCCCACAGCUUCUUCCUUAUGCCCAAGAACUCCAGGUCCUUCCGUGCCUUUGGCCCAUCUUUUGUCUUGUCUGCAUUGUUCAUUAGCAAGCCCAACAAGGUGUCGCACACGUUCUUCUCGACGUGCAUGACAUCUAUGGUGUGACGGCUUUGUAAGAAUUUCCAGUAAGGCAGGUCCCAAAACACCGACCUUCUUUUCCACACAGGUCCAUCGCCAUCCUUCUCUUUCGCUUGCGGAUUUGCUUUCCCGGCAACAACUUCCAAGUUCCUAAAAAUUUCAUAGAUUUUGCGCUCAGUCUUUUCCCUGGGCUUCGGGCGAGGCUCUGUCCUCCCAUUGAAGUUUUUCUUGUCCUUCCUCCAUGGGUCAUCGCGUUGCAACCACUUUCGGUGUCCCAUGUACACAAUCUUCCGUGAAACUGGCAGCCUCUGUGAGUUCGUUUCAUCCCGCACUUUGUACACGCUUUGUACCCAUGUGUGCGUUGGCAAGAUGCGUUCCCGUUCGCAGGGUAGUCAUGCACACAUGUCAGCAGAGCUGCCCAAAGGGUGAACUCCUCCUUCUUGUGAGCGUCCCAAACCUUUCGGCCCGUACUCCAAAGUUCCGCAAGUUCAUCUUUCAGUAGCUCCAGAUACACGUUCAGAUCAGCUCCCGGUUGCUUAGGGCCUUGUAUGAGCAUGGAUAGGUGGAUGUACUUCCUCUUCAUGAUAAGCCACGGAGGAAGGUUGUAUAUGAACAGGAUCGCCGGCCAUGUGCUGUGUUUGCUGCUCAUGUUUCCGAACGGAUUAAUUCCGCCCGUACUCAUCCCGAACCUGAUGUUCCUGGGCUCUGCGCCGAAGUCUGGAAACUUCUUGUCCAGGGUCCUCCAUCGAGCCACAUCGGCGGGGUGUCUAAGUACACCAUCGUCGAUACGGUACACCCCAUCAAGAUCGAUAUCCUUAUGAGUCGAGUCGUGGAAGAUGAACAAUCUGGCCUCCUUCUCGUUUUGAAACCAACGCUCCAGCCGCCUACCACACGGGAGGUACCAUACCGUCUUCGCUGCUGGACCACAAGUCACUUCUUCCUUUGGGAGGCCCUCAGGAUUGGGGUCUUUCUUCCUGUACCAGGAUGUUUCGCAUACUGGACAGCUGUGCAUGUCUUUGUAGUCACCCUUGUAUAUGAUGCAGUCCAACGGACAAACAUGGUAUCUGACAACCUCUAACCCGAGGGGACAUGCAACCUUCUUCGCUUCGUACGUGCUCUUAUGCAACAUGUUGCCCGCGGGAAGAACUGUAGAAAGGUAACUCAAAAUAUCCGUGAAUCCCGAGUCCACGAUGUUAUAUUUUGCCUUCAUUCGGAGAAGUUCGAGCGUUACUUCCAGCACACUUUUGUCCGGCCCUGCAUUUCCAUAAAAUGGUGUCUCUGCGUCCUCCCUCAGCUUUUGGAAUUUACGGGACACUAUCUCAUCGUCAACGUCAUCUAACUGUUUACGCAGGUGCACAUCAUCUAGCAUUUCGGCCACCCUGCCUUGCGGAACUUCUUGAUCUUCGCCACGGCAUGGUUCGUCAGGUGGAUCAUCAUGCUCCAUGUUCUCCAUUUCUGGGUCGCUUUCAACUUCAAUGGCAUCCUCGCCGUGACAAGUCCAACGUGAAUAACCCAACAAAAAACCGUGUAGGGGCAAGUGCAACUCCACAUUGCUUGGCAGAAGCAUCAUUGUGUUACGACAAUUGCUACAUGGACAACAUGUCAUGCCGUCCCCUUUUCUCAGCAUAUGUUCCGUGCCGACAUCAGUGAAGUCUUUCAGUUUUCUUAUCCACUCUUCGCAAUUUCUUGUCUCAUCGUACAUCCAAGCACGGCUCAUCGAGCUAAAACACGAUAAACAAACAUAAAUCAAGUUACAUAUAGUAUCACACAAAAUUUCGGCAUGACCUUUGCUAUAAAAUUUACAAAUUUUGCAAAAAAAUUGUCAAAUAAACACCCACCCACACCCACAUGUGAACACAAAUGGCACGAUGGCCGCGGAACAUGCACAUUCAACUCAUAUUUUAUUGAGAGAGAGCUUAAUUAAUCACAGAGAGAGGGGAGCAGAGAGAGAAAGGGGACCAGAGAGACAGAGGGGAGGUGGCGCACGCAGCAACCAGAGAGACGAUAGAGGGGAGGGAGAAACGGAGCUAGGGGAAGAGUGGGGGCCUCCCAAGCAAGGGGGCCGGCCGGGAUAGCUCCUGGAGAGAGAUCGAGCUCUCCCGGCCGCCGGCGCCAUUUCAGCCACAUCGAGGAAGAAGAGAAGAGAGGAAGGAGCUAGAGGAAAGGAGAGGGAGAGGAGGAGGAAGGAGAGGGAAAGGGAGCAACCUUCCAACCUCCAGUGCCAUGGAAUUUUGGCAGAGCUUCGCCGUCGCCUGUGUUGAGGAGCCGCAGCUGGUCCAGAGACGCGCGAGCUGAGGAAGAUAAGGCCACAGUGACUUUGCUUUAUAGAUAACUUACCAGUGGCGGUUCAAAAGAAUCAGCCCGCCACUGGUAACCGGGAUGGGAAUCUCUGAGGAGCACUAGUGGCGGUUAACUGAUGCGGCCACUGGUACUAGGAGCACUAGUGGCGGUGAAAGCCGCAUGAGUGCUGGCACUACCACUAGUGCUCCACUAACAGCGGCGGUGGAAGCUAACCGCCACUGGUACUCGUUUCAGAUUCUUCCAGCUAAAGCACCGGUGGCGGUGCUGCUCGUGCGAGUGCUUUCACCGCCACCGGUGCUCCACUAGCAGUGGCGGUGGUUGCUCAUCACCACUGGUAUUCGUUUUGGAUUCCUCCAACGACGUCCAGUGGCGGUGAAUUUUUUGGACCAGCUGUACCGCCACUGGAGCUCGUGCGCCAGUAACCCAUUAUGGCGUAGUGGUCACUAACGACACCUAAUGACCUUUUUGGAGAAAUGGUCAUAAACUGUUAUGAACGAUUAGGAUCGUUAUAAAUUUUAUGAUCAAUUUUUUGGUUGCUAGUCCACCCUAGACACAUAGGAUCCGAUGUGGCAACCUUAGUGACGAAAUUAAAUGGCCGUAAACCAAAUUUGGCCCGGUCUAGGUUGUUUGUCCAUAUAUGUGGGCCAAGCCCAAAAAAUCAUUCUAUUUUAUCAGUCCACUCUGGUCUGCUAAAUGGGCCAUGACCAUCAUUUUGGCCCACGUUUUAUGACCCAUUUGUUCAAUUCCAACCAUUUUUAUUUACUUUUUCCCAAUUCAAGUCCAAUAUUAAUUUGGCCAAGGCCUUUUUAUAAUUUAUAGUCCAGUCUAUUACUAUUUUAAUAAAUAUACUGCUCUUAUGUCGAAUAUUGUUUGGUUCGUUGGUUUCUAAGCAAAGUAUAUUUUUGGCCCAUAUGUCCAAAGUUCAUUCUUUGGACAAUUUUGCUAACAAAGCAGCAAUCACUGAGAAAAUCAACACUCACACAGGAAAACAACACAUGAUUAUAAACAUUUGCAGCAUUUCAUGCUUGUAACUUCAGCACAUUACAUUUUAUUUCAACUUAAUAUAUCAGACUACAUGAAAGAGAUACAACUCAAAGUAUAAUUAAUUAAACACUUGCAAAGAGUAGAGGCAACACUUGGCUCAAGAUAGGCAGCGACAACCUAAGAAAAUAAAAGACAAUGCAGAGAGAAAAAACUAUAAACAUGAAACUAAGCCCCCGAGGGUCA